Molecule: small nuclear RNA, 102 nt
Organism: Vulpes vulpes (red fox)
Lineage: Eukaryota; Metazoa; Chordata; Mammalia; Carnivora; Canidae
Source: Ensembl
GUGCUUGCUUUGGCAGCAUAUAUAAUAAAAUUGGAAUGAUAAAGAUUAGCAUGGCCUCAGCACAAAGAUGACACACAAAUUCAUGAGACAUUCCAUAUUAAA